This 374-nucleotide ribosomal RNA is filed under the name uncultured bacterium. Its description in RNAcentral is "bacterial SSU rRNA". It matches the Rfam family "Bacterial small subunit ribosomal RNA", at positions 524 to 898 of the family's 1533-position model. The record is from RNAcentral.
UACGUAGGGUGCAGGCGUUAAUCGGAAUUACUGGGCGUAAAGCGUGCGCAGGCGGCUCCUUAAGUCAGAUGUGAAAGCCCCGGGCUUAACCUGGGAACUGCGUUUGAAACUGGGGAGCUAGAGUGUAGAAGAGGGGGGUGGAAUUCCAGGUGUAGCAGUGAAAUGCGUAGAGAUCUGGAGGAACACCGAUGGCGAAGGCAGCCCCCUGGGCUAACACUGACGCUCAUGCACGAAAGCGUGGGGAGCAAACAGGAUUAGAUACCCUGGUAGUCCACGCCCUAAACGAUGUCAACUGGUUGUCGGGGAAGUAAUUCCUUGGUAACGAAGCUAACGCGUGAAGUUGACCGCCUGGGGAGUACGGCCGCAAGGCUAAA